CCGCACGGGUGAGUAACACGUGAGUGACCUGCCUUUUAGACUGGAACAACUUACCGAAAGGUGAGCUAAUGCCGGAUGAGUUAUAUAAGUGCAUGUUUAUAUAGGAAAAGUUGGGGAGACCUGACGCUGAAAGAUGGACUCGCGUCCCAUUAGCUAGUUGGUAGGGUAAUGGCCUACCAAGGCGACGAUGGGUAGCCGGCCUGAGAGGGUGGCCGGCCACACUGGGACUGAGACACGGCCCAGACUCCUACGGGAGGCAGCAG
This 263-nucleotide ribosomal RNA is filed under the name uncultured bacterium. Its description in RNAcentral is "partial 16S ribosomal RNA". It matches the Rfam family "Bacterial small subunit ribosomal RNA", at positions 98 to 354 of the family's 1533-position model. The record is from RNAcentral.